RNAcentral lists this ribosomal RNA (298 nucleotides) under uncultured bacterium. RNAcentral's name for it is "partial 16S ribosomal RNA". It matches the Rfam family "Bacterial small subunit ribosomal RNA", at positions 524 to 830 of the family's 1533-position model. The record is from RNAcentral.
UACGUAGGUGGCAAGCGUUGUCCGGAUUUACUGGGCGUAAAGGGAGCGUAGGCGGACUUUUAAGUGAGAUGUGAAAUACCCGAGCUCAACUUGGGUGCUGCAUUUCAAACUGGAAGUCUAGAGUGCAGGAGAGGAGAAGGGAAUUCCUAGUGUAGCGGUGAAAUGCGUAGAGAUUAGGAAGAACACCAGUGGCGAAGGCGCUUCUCUGGACUGUAACUGACGCUGAGGCUCGAAAGCGUGGGGAGCAAACAGGAUUAGAAACCCGAGUAGUCCGCCUAAUGUGCCAGCAGCCGCGGUA